AACACCAGAAAAAAUGCUUUCCUUUACAGUGUUACUUAAGGUGAUUGGAAUUGAAAUGACUCAUUCGUCUGCUGUUUUCUUUGAUUCACAGAAUUUUUUGCUAUAAAUAUAAGAAGAAGCAUAUUAUUUCUUUAAGCAUUUUAAUAAAUGUACAUAUAAACAAGAAUUUUUUUUGCAGAUAUUUGAACACCCUUUUAAACAGUUCUGGGUCCGCCACUGAUUCUUGACCAAAGAGUCAGUUAUUUUAUUUUUGUAUUGUUUUGCAAUAAAAAGUAAAAUAACAAAAAUACUGAACUCCGACG
Molecule: long non-coding RNA, 302 nt
Filed under: Mytilus galloprovincialis (Mediterranean mussel)
Lineage: Eukaryota; Metazoa; Mollusca; Bivalvia; Mytilida; Mytilidae
Source: RNAcentral